This 460-nucleotide ribosomal RNA is filed under the name uncultured bacterium. Its description in RNAcentral is "partial 16S ribosomal RNA". It matches the Rfam family "Bacterial small subunit ribosomal RNA", at positions 338 to 795 of the family's 1533-position model. The record is from RNAcentral.
ACUACGGGAGGCAGCAGUGAGGAAUAUUGGUCAAUGGGCGCGAGCCUGAACCAGCCAAGUAGCGUGAAGGAUGACUGCCCUACGGGUUGUAAACUUCUUUUAUAAAGGAAUAAAGUGAGGCACGUGUGCCUUUUUGUAUGUACGUUAUGAAAAAGGAUCGGCUAACUCCGUGCCAGCAGCCGCGGGAAUACGGAGGAUCCGAGCGUUAUCCGGAUUUAUGUGGUUUAAAGGGAGCGUAGAUGGGUUGUUAAGUCAGUUGGUAAAGUUUGUGGCUUAACCGUAAAAUUGCAAUUGAUACUGGCAGUCUUGAGUACAGUUGAGGUAGGCGGAAUUCGUGGUGUAGCGGUGAAAUGCUUAGAUAUCACGAAGAACUCCGAUUGCGAAGGCAGCUUACUAAACUGCCACUGACAUUGAUGCUCGAAAGUGUGGGUAUCAAACAGGAUUAGAUACCCGUGUAGUC